This 931-nucleotide ribosomal RNA is filed under the name uncultured Candidatus Cardinium sp. RNAcentral's name for it is "bacterial SSU rRNA". It matches the Rfam family "Bacterial small subunit ribosomal RNA", at positions 498 to 1433 of the family's 1533-position model. Lineage: Bacteria; Pseudomonadati; Bacteroidota; Cytophagia; Cytophagales; Amoebophilaceae. The record is from RNAcentral.
UAAUUCCGUGCCAGCAGCCGCGGUAAUACGGGAGGUGCAAGCGUUAUCCGGUUUUAUUGGGUUUAAAGGGUGCGUAGGCGGCUUAUUAAGUCAGUUGUGAAAUCCUAGUGCUUAACGCUAGAACUGCAAUUGAUACUACUAGGCUUGAGUUAAGAAGAGGUAAGCAGAAUUUAUGGUGUAGUAGUGAAAUGCUUAGAUAUCAUAAGGAAUACCAAUAGCGUAGGCAGCUUACUGGUCUUUAACUGACGCUGAGGCACUAAAUCGUGGGGAGCAAACAGGAUUAGAUACCCUGGUAGUCCACGCCGUAAACGAUGAUCACUCGAUAUACAUGAUACAUCAUGUGUGUCUAAGCGAAAGCGUUAAGUGAUCCACCUGGGGAGUAUACUCGCAAGGGUGAAACUCAAAGGAAUUGACGGGGGUCCGCACAAGCGGUGGAGUAUGUGGUUUAAUUCGAUAAUACGCGAGGAACCUUACCUGGGCUAGAAUGUAUUUUGCUACCUUGAGAAAUUGAGGGUUCCUUCGGGACAGAAUACAAGGUGCUGCAUGGCUGUCGUCAGCUCGUGCUGUGAAGUGUUAGGUUCAGUCCUAGAACGGGCGAAACCCUUUUGCUUAAUUGCCAGCACAUAAUGGUGGGGACUUUAAGUAGACUGCCCGUGUAAGCGGGAGGAAGGAGAGGAUGAGGUCAAGUCAUCAUGGCCUUUAUGCCCAGGGCUACACACGUACUACAAUGGCAUGUACAAAGGGAAGCUACUUGGUAACAAGAUGCAAAUCUCAAAAGCAUGUCUCAGUUCGGAUUGGGGUCCGCAAUUCGACCCCAUGAAGUUGGAAUCGCUAGUAAUCGCGUAUCAGCAAUGGCGCGGUGAAUACGUUCUCGGACCUUGUACACACCGCCCAUCAAGCCAUAGGAGUUGGUAGAGCUUGAAGACAGUGG